CACAACUUCCCAAUCGCUCACCACAAUUGUUGGAUGAAUUCCAAGGCGGAUAGAGAAGAUUGACCCGUACUCAUCUGCCAUGCCCCCUAGUGUUUUAUGCAGCAGCUGGUUUCUUCCUCCAAGAAGAUGUAGGUGGCCAAUUACAGGCCAUGACCCUGCUACCUCUGGAGGCAUCUUGCCAUUUUUCUUGUUUCCCUUGGCAAAUAUUGUGGCCAAGACAACAGAAGUUAUUGCAAGAAGAAGGGCAAACAAGGAGAUUCCUCGUAGCUCAGUCAAGGUUUUCAUGGUUUAGUUCGUAAUGAAGAUUGGUGAUUUGUCAACAUUUUUUCCAGAUGAUACUGAAAGAAACUUCUGAAUUUAGACAAAUGAAAUAUUUUUUAUGGCUCACAUCUUAUUUUUGUUCACAUAUUGACAGCUCAUUUAUGCGAAGUGAAUCAGUCUAGCUGAUGGUUACUGAUGGGGGGAUUUUCCAGUCUGGUUUGGCACGUCUAUCUUAUUCAACUAGUCUUCUCUAUAAACAAAAGAAAAGAAGAGAAAAUUACCAUCACCAAGUUUGGCAAAAAACGACAAUAUAUACAGUAAAUGAUCUCUCCAUGCAAAUGAUUUUCUUGAUCAUUAUACUAAUUAUUCACGAAAAAACGACAGGAUACCAAACAAUCAGACUUUUUUCAGCACAAGCUCCGUUUUUUCCAGAAUAAGACAGGCAUGAUCCACCUGUGAGACUUUUGUGUUAAAUUGUGGCCCCUGACAGCACAGUGUUUUUAAAAUAUAUGUAACUUGACUAUAGUAAAUUAAAAACCACGAAAUAAAAACUUGACUAUAAGAUCAGUUCAACAGUUAUUGCAAUACAUUGGCAAUAAAAAACACUUCCUGCCUUUAUUCUACCUUUGUUUUACAUAUUUUUAUAAAGGAUUGCACAAUGAUCUCCUUGUGCUUGCUGCUUAGAAUUCGUAAGCGAUGGAAGGUAACCUUGGCCUGAGGACAACCUCCAAUGGUGUUGCUUUGGGGACUGUCAAUCCAGGGCUUUCAGUCAUAUCGACUGGAGUAUCCGAGACUGUCCUCAAUUCAAACCCGUGAAGAAGCCGAGCAAGUGUCAGGUGCACAACCUGGACAACGAAUGACACCGCAGGGCACAUUCUUCUUCCAGACCCGAAUGGUGUGAACUCGAAGUCCUGCCCCCUUACAUCCAAAUUGGCUUUCUCUUUCAGGAACCUCUCAGGCUGAAAUUCCAAUGGGUUAGCCCAAAUGUUACGGGUCCCGAUGCAACUUCCAGAGGUUAACCACAAGGCGCGUGCCUGCUGGGAUGUGGAAGCCAGCUACAGUGCAAUCCUCCAUGGCUUCCCUUGGUCCUGAGAGUGGUCCUGGCGGGUGUAGCCUGAAUGUUUCCUUGACAAUGGCUUGCAAAUAUACAAGGUUCUUUAUGUCUGUCUCGGCCACUUGGCGGUGCUUUCCGACGUGGGUGUCAAGCUCAUCUUGAGCUUUUUGAAGCAUAUUUCUGUUGUUUAGUAGCAAAGCUAGUGCCCAUAUCAGAGCUAUCGGUGUUGUGUCACUGCCUCCCGCUAGAAGGCUCUGCCAUAGAGAUUACUUGAUACUGUGAGAUGAUGGAGUAAAAAAGUGAUUUAUAUAAACAUAUACGAAAUUUAUUCCUUUAAUUUAUUAGGAUUUAUAUAACCCUUAGAGAUUACUAUGUCUGCUAUAGUACACUUUCUUUUUUUGACAAAUACUAAAUGCAAAAUGCAAAAAUCGAACAUAAACUCUGGAUGUUUUGCCUAGCUGUAUGCCGUAUUGCAGAAAAUGAAAGACAGAGCAAGGGCCUCGAGUUAGAGACUUUCCGGAAAACUUAAAUCAAAUACAGAUCAUCAUUUACCCAAACUCCUUUCAGACAUGUGAAAAAAGCAAGUUUUGCCCAGUUGCUUGAGUAGGUUUCAGCUGCAACAGAAAAGUAUGUAACUUUUAAUUGCAGAAAUUUGCUAGAUACUUACCAAGCAACUAGACUUAACGGUUGUGUCAGCUUCAUCAACAGAAACGUUACUAUCAUCCAUGAUAGAAAGCAUUACAUGGAUGAAAUCUUUCUCCUCCUCGCUGAUGCUUCUGUUGAGCCUGAUUCUUCGAUGCUCCUCCACCCAGCUCCCAAGCACGAAAUCUAACUCCCUAGCCGUUCUUUUCAUUUUUCCUAUAUAUCCCUUCACCAAAUCCAGCCAACUAAACAAUGGAACAGCAUCUGAAGCCAAAUUUAACCCCAAUAGAUAGAAGAAAUUUCCUAAAGCUUCUUGACUCCUCUUUGCCUCUUGGUUGCCUUUUGCAUCGGCACUAAAGUAUCGCUUCCCGGAAAUCAUUCUAACUAUUAUGUUCAUUGCCAUGUCCGAUAAUCUUUGCUUCAUUUCCACGACAACUUGCCCUCCAUUCCUUGACGAUUUCUCAUAAAAAUCUUUCAUGAGCAAACUGGUUUCGGAGUCCCUGACAUGCUUGAGCAACUCAAGCCUAUGAUUGGAGAGGAGUUCAACCAUGACCAACUUCCUGAUAUCACGCCAAUAUCGCCCAUACGGUGCAAAGCCGAACAUGGUUUGGUUAUAGCCCAUGAUCUUUAAUGCUAAGGAUUUCGGACGUGUGGAAAAGACCCUAUCAUUUGCAGUGAAACAUUCUUUCACAACUUCCCAAUCGCUCACCACAAUUGUUGGAUGAAUUCCAAGGUGAAUAGAGAAGAUUGACCCGUACUCAUCUGCCAUGCCCCCUAGUGUUUUAUGCAGCAGCUGGUUUCUUCCUCCGAGAAGAUGUAGGUGGCCAAUAACGGGCCAUGACCCUGCUACCUCUGGAGGCAUCUUGCCAUUUUUCUUGUUUCCUUUGGCACAUAUUGUGGCCAAGACAAUAGAAAUUAUUGCAAGAAGAAGGGCAAACAAGGAGAAUUCUCGUAGCUCAGUCAAGGUUUUCAUGGUUUAGUUCGUAAUGAAGAUUGGUGAUUUGUCAAUAUUUUUUCCAGAUGAUUCUGAAAGAAACUUCCGAAUUUAGACGAAUGAAAUGAUUUUUUAUGGAUCACAUCUUAUUUUUGUUCACAUAUUGACAGCGCAUUUAUGCGAAGUGAAUCAGUCUAGCUGAUGGUUACUGAUGGGGGGAUUUUCUUGUCUGGUUUGGCACGUCUAUCUUAUUCAACUAGUCUUCUCUGUAAACAAUAAAAAACGAAGAGAAAAUUACCAUCACCAAGUUUGGCAAAAAAACGACAAUAUAUACAGUAAAUGAUCUCUCCAUGCAAAUGAUUUUCUUGAUCAUUAUACUAAUUUAUUCACGAAAAAACGACAGGAUACCAAACAAUCAGAAAUUUUUCAGCACAAUCUCAGCUUUUUCCAGAAUAGGAUAGGCAUGAUCCACCAGUGAGACUUUUGAGUUAAAUUGUGGCCACCCGACGGCAAAGUGCCUUUGGGGACCAUCAAUCUCGUGACAUUGAUACCAUGAGUACAGAAUUUCCAUGCGGUGGGUGAUCAUAAAAAAUAUACAGUAAAAGUCACCUACACAAAUCCAGUAUCUUGGUGUUUUUUUUUAAUCUGUUUUUCUAAAUUUUGUAAGUUGUUUUUAUUUUUUUUAAAAUAUCAAAUUAAUAUUUUUUAAAAUACUUUUCGAUGAAUUUAAUGAUUCCCUAGCAAUAGAACAUCUCUCUUUACAUAUAUUUUUUUUAAUGUUUUUUAAGGCUCAAACUCAUUUUCUGUAAUUUCAUAGAAUAGCUUGACAAAUUCCUUAGUUUCCACAAUUGAAGUGUCUCCUCUGCAUUUGCAGCAUCACCUAGUUACUCUUUUUGUGUAGUAAAAAUACAAUUACUUCAUUGGAGCAGGAGAGAUUUAUGUUCUGUUAUCAAAUUUCACUAACAAGAUUUGAUGGAUGCCCAGAACUUGUUUGUCUGAAGGGGAUUUGUGUUGAUCUAUGUGUUCAUUCUUAAAAUUGCUUGAUCAUGUUAUCUUUUUAGGUGGAUUUCUAAAUAGAUCUUGAAAUGGUUGUAUCAUGUUCUUCACGUGGAAAUUAUUUAUUGAGUUGGAACCGUUUACGCAAAAGAUUAGUAAAAUAAUCAUUACCUUGAGAUUUUAUUAAAGAAAAAUGGAUAAAUCAUGGUUGAAAAAGAAAUAUAAGCGGAGGGAAUAUGAUUGAAAGAGAGAAUUUGUAGAGAAUAAAAUUGAAAGAGAUAUAAAUCUUCAAUAGAAAAUGUCUUUUUUAUAUAAAAAUUUAAAUUAAAGGAUACAACAUAUAGUUGUUUAAUAAAAUGGUCAAAAAAUAUUUAAUGGCAAAAAAUUAUUUAACGGGAAAAAAAACAAUGCAUUUUCCAUGUCUUUCUCUGUCCCUUCAACAGAACAUCAUCAAAAUAAAAACUCCACGUUUUUUUCACUUUAAUUAGAUCAUAUUCCCAAUCACCACAUGCCCCCGUCGUCUCGCCCACAGCUCCUCCACUGUCGGAAAGCAAACCUCCAUCAUCAUCAUCAUCAUCAUCAAAAUUAAAUCCAUUGAAAUAAGUAUUCCGUAAAAAGUGCUGAAAAAAGGAAAAAGAAGAAAGAGGCAAGUGUCUUGAUGGAUGAGAGAAAAGUUCCAGCGAUUGGAAAUAUGAUUUGACAUGAAUGGCUCCACCAUACUACUUUCAAGUUUUAUACUUUCCUUUUCUCCGGGUGCUGUAACUUCAACUUGGUGGAGGGGAGCUGGACACGAAUAUGAAAACACCGUCUUCCAGAUCUCCACCGCAAAAGGAAGGUAAUAUACCUGGAAUCUUUUUUAAUUUGUCAUCGUUCAAUUUAAUGAGGCCAAUAAGAGAACCAAUUAUUGAACAAGUGGAGACAUCUUAUGUGCUACGCUUGUAUGUUGGAGGACACGUCACUAUCGACUACAUGCAGAUAGGUUAAUCGUGUGGCCUUCACAGCCUUGAAGAGACAAUAUGCAAAAGCAAAUUUAAUUGCAUCGCAAAACAUACUUUAAUUCGUAUGUAUUUUUUUAACCGAUAUAAGAAGAUGUGGCUGUGAGAAGAUUUUGUUGCGAUAGCAAUUACUAGGGUACAUGGAUGACCGUUGGGCGAGAUGUAAUAAAUUAAUUACAUAAGUGGUAAAUUAAAUUAUUUUCAAUUUAGUUUGAUUUUUAUUAAAAAUAAUAAUUAAAUGACAUUUAAAAAAAAAUUAAAACCAGUUCAAACCGAUUAAUUUUGGUUCUGUUUCUUAGGAUAAAAACCGAUUCAAACUAAUUUGGUUUAAUUUUCUUGAUUUUGGCUCGGUUUUAUCGGUUUUAGCUCAUUUUUUUCCUUAAUUUUUUUGGUUUGGGUUCAGUUCGGUUUUUUAAUUUUUUAUUUAUAAAACCAAAACUAAACAUGUUGAUUUUUUUAAAAAUUUUAAUCAAUUUUUUUUUACAGUUUGAUUUUUUAAAAUUUAAUUUAUUUAGGUUUUUUAAUUUAAUUGAUUUUUUUAGCUGUGUUUGAGUAUGUGUCAACGAGGGAGGGAGGGAGACAUGCACAUUUAUUGGGGGAGACAAGUGGGCCUCAGGAAUGGCUUGUCUCGGGACUUGGGUUUGGACAAUGUAUCGAUCGAAUCUCUUCGACGUUUGUACAGUUGUGCUGUUGUGAAGGGUACAUGUAGUUUUUGACCCUCUCCUAAUUUCUCAUCUGAGGAGGCAUCUGGAUCGGAGAAGGAAAAAGAAAAGAAAGAUAAAUUUAAAUUUCAAAAAAAUAUCAUAUGUAUUAUUAUUAUUAUUAUUAUUAUAAAAGAAAUAUCCUUAAUUAACAAAGAAGUUAAGGUACAAACGAUAUCCUUGAUUAACAAAAGAACAACCAACCAAGAAACUGGCUAUAUAUAGUGGCUAAAAUUUCUCAUUCAGUCUCCUCCACAAAAGCUUCGACUCGAAGAAGAACAAAUCCCACUGCAACUCCAACAAGAACAAGCCCAUUCAUGAUUGCUGCUAUCCUGAAUAUCUCACCAACAUCACUGCAGGUUGAAGAGAGUGCACCCCCACUCCUGCCUUUACCCUUUGAUGGAGCUCUCAAUGAGCUCACCACCUUUGCAAAGGACUGCUCGGUGCAUACUGGCUGGCCUAAUGAACUCACACUGUUGUGAGCUUUUAGCCCACCAAAAGAAUCCAGUCCUGUUAUGUACUUCACUUUGAUUUGCUUCCACUCAGGACUGCUAACUGUGGCAGUAGCACGCGUUGCUGGAGAAAGCGUUGCUGAGGCUGUUGCCAUUGACCCAAAACCUGCAAUAUGUAAGAUGAGAAACAGGAACACAAUCACACCUUGUACACACCAAAAACAGAACUUACAAGUACUACUAACUACUAUCUAAUUUAAUGAAAUAAGCGUCGUAUGCCUAACAGAGGAAUAUGCAUGUAGUGACCUUUUUUUUCGGUGGUGUUUGUCGGGUUAGAAAUAUUACAAAUAUGAUUGGAAAGGAAGGAAAUGGAAACAUAACUUUGUAUGGAAAAGAACGAGAGAGGAUGGAUAAGGAAACAAUGAGCACCUCUAAAUGCCAGCCAGGAAAACAAAAUUGAAUAACUUUACAGUCCAAGCACCAUGGUCUCCAAUUCAAUUCAAUAAAUCAAAAGAAUCCAGGCCCAGUCCCAUUUUAAAGUAGACCAAAAACGAGACCGACCAAGCCCAAAUAAGAUCCCUAAAAAGAGACUUUCUUCGGACUGAAACAUCAACCGUGUUCUGAUAAGCCCCUAAAUAUACUUCAAUAAGCACCCUCUACAAAAGCUCUCGGUGCAACCUUCUUUCCCAACCUCAUCAGCUCAAACACGCAAACAUUUCCUCCCACCAAAUUGUUGUCCGCCGUCCCAUUAUCAAAUUCAACCCUCCGCCUUUUCUCCAUUUUGUUUGACUCUUUUCCGUCACAAAUCUGAAGUCUGAAGCAUUCAGAAUCUUCUUGCGGACGGACACCUGUUAGCGGAUGUACUGCAUAAAUCAGCAAGAAUUGCAAUAAUUAGAACUUAACAAACACCUCAAAGAUUGCAUUUUUGUAAAGGCUCGCCAAAACAACACUGUGCAGGCUUAUUAUAAGAGCUGUAAGUACACAUUGAAAAUAAUAAAAUUAUCUACUACAUUUUCGUAAAGGCUCACCAGUAGAUCAUGCUUACUAUAUAAGUUCCUGCAAGAUAGUCAUGAAUGAAGGAUUUUUUGGGCUGGACAUCCAUGCUAUGCUGGCUUUACGCGCUGCAUUUGUAGUUCCUUAUGACGCCUUUGCUAAUGUGGCAAGAUUUUUUAAAACUAGUGAUGAUUUCCUCCGAUUCUUCCUGAUCUGCACAUUAUAGAUUCAUAAAUUAAGCACCAUCAUGGAUGUAUACACAAAGAGCUCACGAACUUAUUCUGAUGAAGUUCCUUUCUUUAAUGAGAGUUUUUUUUAAAAAAAAAAACAGGAUUUAUUAUGUGGUUAUCAAAAUUGAAAGCUUACAUUCAAAUUGGAGAAAAAUAUUCAUUGUUAUCAUAAGAUAGGUUUCGUAAGGUGCAAAGUCACUUAUGAUGUCGAAGAUUGGUGAUAAGAUGUUCUAGAAAAUAGAGUUCGUGAUGGUAUGCCGAUAAUCCCAUCAUAAUAAGCUAUGAAAACAUUGUUAAUUUUGAAUUAUAUAAAAUGAUAACAAAGAGAUUUUAUAAUGAGCAUAUUAUUAUUACUAUCUUUCUGUUCAUGAAGAUUUACUAUCGUCAAUAUUUAUUGCUCUGCUACUCCCUUUGAUUCAAUUAUGGCCACAAGGGACAGGGGAGCUAAGUCUAACUGAUGGUGACCAGAUGCUAACAAUUUUCUUGUCUGCUUUUGCCAAUUUCAGCUUUCUGCUAGUCCUUCUGUCCAAAUUUGUCUCCACUGAAAUUUUUAAGUUCGAAAAAAAACGCACCAAAUGAUAUAGUUGAUAAAAAUAGACAAUAGUAAAUUAAAAACCACGAAAUAAAAACUUGACUAUAAGAUCAGUUCAACAGUUAUUGCAAUACAUUGGCAAUAAAAAACACUUCCUGCUUUUAUUCUACCUUUGUUUUACAUAUUUUUAUAAAGGAUUGCACAAUGAUCUCCUUGUGCUUGCUGCUUAGAAUUCGUAAGCGAUGGAAGGUAACCUUGGCCUGAGGACAACCUCCAAUGGUGUUGCUUUGGGGGACUGUCAUUCCAGGGCUUUCAGUCAUAUCGACUGGAGUAUCGGAGACUGUCCUCAAUUCAAACCCCUGAAGAAGCCGAGCAAGUGUCAGGGUGCACAACCUGGACAGCGAAUGACACCGCAGGGCACAUUCUUCUUCCAGACCCGAAUGGUGUGAAUUCGAAGUCCUGCCCCCUUACAUCCAAAUUGGCAUGCUCUUUCAGGAACUUCUCAGGCUGAAAUUCCAAUGGGUUAGUCCAAAUGUUAGGGUCACGAUGCAACUUCCAGAGGUUAACCACAAGGCGCGUGCCUGCUGGGAUGUGGAAGAGCUAUCGUUAUUGUGUCACUGCCUCCCAAUAGAAGGCUCUGCCUCUCAUUCAGUCUCCUCCACAAAAGCUUCGACUCGAAGAAGAACAAAUCCGACUGCAACUCCAACAAGAACAAGCCCAUUCAUGAUUGCUGCUAUCCUGAAUAUCUCACCAACAUCACUGCAGGAUGAAGAGAGUGCACCCCCACUCCUGCCUUUACCCUUUGAUGGAGCUCUCAAUGAGCUGACCACCUUUGCAAAGGACUGCUCGGUGCAUACUGGUGUUGAAAGCUAAGCUGAUUACUUUUGAUAAAAAAUCGAUGAAGAAGACUGCAACAAGAAGGAUGAAGAAGUUGCAGAAAUUCUGUUAAAACAGUUAAGAAGGCAGUUAAAACCGUUAUUUUUGUUUUCUGUUUUUACUGUUACAAAACUGACUGUAAAUCAUUUCCACGUGAGAUGAUCUUGAUUCCUAAAAUAAAGGAAUCAGUUACAUAAAUUGUGUAUAAAAGCAAUGGUUACAGAAUUGAAAGUAAUAAGAAAAUAUACAGAACUUCUUCAUAAUCUUCUCUGCACAUUUAAAGCUUUAUUCUUUCUAUCCUCUUCUUCUUCUUCUCCAACGAAAUACAAGAAAAUCAACAUGGUAUCAGAGCACUCAAACUGAUUCCUGAGAGGGGUGUAGACUGUGAAAGAGAGAUUGAUUAAACUGUUAAUUACUCAAAAAUGGUAGGAUCAAGCUCAGCUGGAGGAGACUUAAGAACUCCACAGUUCAAUGGCACGAAUUAUGAUUUUUGGGCUGUAAAAAUGGAAAUUGUCCUCAUAGCACUCGAUCUAUGGGAAGUAGUUGAAGAUGGAAUAAAAUCUCAUCAAGCACCUGAGAUUGCAGUUGGAUCAGGCGAUGAAGAGAGUGAGGCUGAUCAAAUUAUACUGCAUGCAUCCACGACAUCCAGAGAAGAAAAAAUAUCAAGAAUGCAAAGGCUUUAAGCCUCAUACAAGGAGCAUUAACAGAUGAUCUUUUCCCACGUAUAAGAAAUGAGAAAACUGUAAAAGGAGCAUGGGACAUCUUGAGCAGAGAAUUCAGAGGAGAUAAAAAGGUUAGAGCAGUAAAACUUCAAGGAGUAAGAGCAGACUUUGAAUAUUUGAGAAUGUCAGAAAGUGAAAGCUUAGAUGGUUAUCUAGCUAAAUUCUUUGUAACUAUAAACAACCUAAAAUCAUUAGGUGAAGAUGUAUCAAAAAACAGAAUUGUGUAGAAAUUGUUAAUGAGUCUAAGCAGAAGAUAUAAGUCUAUUGUGUCAAUCAUUGAAGAGACACGUGAUCUUGAAGUUCUAAGAGAAGAAGAAGUCAUUGCUUCUGUUAAAGUAUAUGAUAAGAGGAAGGAUCUGCAUGAUGAAAGGGAUAAGCUAAGAGGAACAGAAAAAGCCUUUAGCAGUUUUAAAAUUGGAAACAAUCAAGGUUACAAUUCUCACAAGAAUUUUCAAGGCAGACCUACUCAAAAAUGGCAACCACAAGACAGGAAGGGAUCAAACUGGAAUCCAAACAGAACUCUGAAUAGCUACAGCAAUUCAAACUGGAAUAACACUGGUGGAGGGAGCAGUCAAGCAGGAGAAAAACCACAGUGUCAAGUCUGUCAAAAACAUCAUUUUGGAUUGUGCAGACACAAAGGAAAACCAAGAUGUGGAAGAUGCAAUCGUUUGGCCAUAUUACAAAAGAUUGUGAAAGUCAGAAUCACAAACAACUUGCAAAUUAUGCUAAAGAAGAAGGAGUCAUCACUGGAACCAUGUUCUAUGCUUGCCAUGCUGCAAGUUUGCAAGACAAAAAGAUAUGGUUUGUGGAUAGUGCCUGCUCACAUGACUUCUCAAGAAUCUGAACUAAUCAACAUUGAUAGAUCAGUAACAUGCAAAGUGAAGAUGGGCUCAGGAGACCUUGUGCAAGCUACUGGAAAAGGUACAUUGGUUGUGGAAACUCAGCAUGGGAAGAGAUACAUAAAAGAAGUAUUGCUUGUUCCCAGAUUGGAUGAAAACUUACUAAGUGUAGGCCAGAUGAUGGAGCAUGGCUAUUACAUUCUGUUUGGAGGUAACAAGGCAGUAAUAUUUGAUGAUGAAAGCCUCAACAAUGUUAUAGCAAUAGUAAUCAUGGGAGGAAAUCGAUGCUUUCCACUUUCACUUAAAAGUAUUACACCUGCAGCAAGGAAAGCUUUAGUGACUGAGGAUUCUUGGAUAUGGCAUAGGAGACUUGGACACUUGAACUUUGCCAACAUGAAAAAGAUGCAAUAGAAAGAGAUGGUGUGUGGACUUCCUGCUCUGACUGAAGUAGAAGAUGUUUGUGCAGGUUGUGCAUCAGGCAAACAUCAUAAGGAGAAAUUCAUCAAAGAGCAAGCAAUCCACUGGAAUUGAUCCACACUGAUCUGUGUGGACCAAUGCAGAAUGAUUCUGUGGGAGGGAACAGAUACUUCAUCACAUUCAUUGAUGAUUACUCAAGAAUAUGUUGGGUAUACUUUCUCAGAAAUAAAUCUGGUGCACUGAAUGUAUUCAAAAAAUUCAAAGCAUUCGUUGAACUGCAAAGUGGACACAAACUGAAGAAGCUAAGAAGUGACAGAGGAGGAGAAUAUACUUCCAAAGAAUUUGAAGAAUUAUGUGAGAAGCAAGGAAUGGAGAGGCAAUUGACAGUUGCAUACUCCCCUCAACAGAAUGGAGUUGCAGAAAGGAGAAACAGAACAAUUUGUGAGAUGGGGAGAUCUAUGCUGAUAGAGAAAGGAAUGUCAGUAACCUUCUGGGCAGAAGCUGUUAAUACAGCUGUGUAUAUACAGAAUAGAUGUUAUACAACAUUUGUUGCAGAAAAGACUCCUUUUGAAGCCUUCACGGGAAGGAAGCCAGGAGUCAAGCAUUUGAAGGUGUUUGGUUGCUUGUGUUACACACAUAUCCAUCAUCACUAAGGCAGAAAUGGGAUAGCAAAGCUGGAAAGGGAGUGUUUGUUGGAUAUGGCAGCUGUGAAAAGGGUAUAGGAUAUAUGAUCUGAAAACUGAGAAGAUUGUUCUCUCAAGAAGUGUGAUUUUCAGUGAAGAUAAAGCAUGGAAUUGGAAGGGAAAUCUGAUGAACCAAAUCCACUUGUCCUUCAAUCAUGAAGGAGGUAUAAUUGAAGGUGAGAAUCUUGAGAAACACACUUCUAAAAUUCAACCCGACAAUGUUGAACAUUGCAAUCAAAAUCCUAUAGUUGAAGAGUCAGUUGAGAAGAUUGACAGUGCUAACAGUCAACAAUCUUCACCAAGCUCUACUCCAGUGAAAUUGAAAAUCUUGGAAGACAUAUAUGCAAGGUGUCACAUGUGCAUCAUAGAACCUGAGAAUUAUCAAGAAGCUGCUGGGGAUAAAGCCUGGCAGGAGGCUAUGAAGGAAGAGUUGGAAGUGAUAGAGAAGAACAAUACUUGGGAAUUGGUGGAAAGACCAAGUGAUAAACCUGUGAUAAGAGUGAAAUGGGUGUACAAAACCAAGCUUCAUCUUGAUGGAUCAGUUCAGAAACACAAGGCUCGACUUGUAGCAAAGGGUUAUGCAUAGAAAUAUGGAAUUGAUUACAAUGAAACCUUUGCACCAGUAGCAAGGUUAGACACAAUUCGAACUCUCAUUGCACUUACAGCACAGAAGGGGUGGAAGUUGUUUCAAUUGGAUGUCAAGUCAGCAUUCCUAAAUGGUGUACUUGAAGAAGAAGUAUAUGUUGAACAGCCUGAAGGGUUUGAAGUAAAGAAUGCAGGACAUAAAGUUUACAAACUAAAGAAGGCUUUGUAUGGAUUAAAACAGGCACCGAGAGCCUGGUAUAGUGAGAUUGAUACAUAUCUCUCUAUGUGCAAUUUUAAAAGGAGUGGAAGUGAAGCUACUCUAUAUACAAGAUCAGACAUGGAAGGUAAUUUGAUCAUAGUUUCAAUCUAUGUUGAUGACAUUGUGUACACUGGCAGCAGUGAGAGGCUUCUCAAUGAAUUCAAAAGGGAAAUGAUGCAGAGAUAUGAGAUGUCUGAUCUUGGACUUCUUCACCAUUUUCUUGGCAUGGGGAUACUGCAAACCAAUCGAGGAGUGUUUAUUCAUCAAGGGAAAUAUGACAAAUCUCUGCUCAGUAAGUUUGGACUUGAUGAUUGCAAACCAGUUUCCAUUCCCCUGGCCACUGGAGAGAAACUGAAGAAGAAAGAUGGAAGUGAGUUGGCUGAUGAAGGUCUUUAUAGAAGAAUAGUAGGAAGUCUACUAUAUUUGACAGCUACAAGACCUGAUCUAAUGUAUGCUGCAAGUUUAUUAUCAAGGUUCAUGACUGGACCUACCAAGAUUCACAUGGGAGCUGCAAAAAGAGUUCUAAGAUAUGUGCAAGGAACUCUCAGUUAUGGGAUUGAAUAUGUAAGGGAUCAAUCAGCAACUCUCAUUGGAUUUUGUGAUGCAGAUUGGGCAGGAAGUGAAGAUGAUAGCAGGAGUACUUCGGGCUAUGCAUUUAGUUUUGGAAGUGGAGCAUUCUCCUGGUCUUCUGUAAAACAAAACACAGUAGCAUUGUCAACUGCUCAGGCCAUUUGGCUAUAGUUUGUUCUUGAUGAUUUUGGGGAAAUGCAAGCUGAAGCAACACCUUUAUUCUAUGAUAACAUGUCAGCAAUUUCGAUGGCCAAGAAUCCAGUUUUCCAUCAGAGAACAAGACACAUAAACAAGAAGUAUCACUUUUUAAGAGAGGCUCUGCAAGAAGGAGUAAUUGAUGUGAAGUUCUGCAGAAGUGAAGAACAACUUGCAGACAUCUUCACAAAGGCAUUACCCAAAGAUAGAUUCAAGAAACUAAAACUAGAUCUUGGAGUUAAAUCAGUAAACAGCUUAGGAGAGGCUGUUGAAAGCUAAGCUGAUUACUUUUGAUAAAAAAUCGAUGAAGAAGACUGCAGCAAGAAGGAUGAAGAAGUUGCAGAAAUUCUGUUAAAACAGUUAAGAAGGCAGUUAAAACCGUUAUUUCUGUUUUCUGUUUUUACUGUUACAAAACUGAUUGUAAAUCAUUUCCACGUGAGAUGAUCUUGAUUCCUAAAAUAAAGGAAUCAGUUACAUAAAUUGUGUAUAAAAGCAAUGGUUACAGAAUUGAAAGUAAUAAGAAAAUAUACAGAACUUCUUCAUAAUCUUCUCUGCACAUUUAAAGCUUUAUUCUUUCUAUUCUCUUCUUCUUCUCCAACGAAAUACAAGAAAAUCAACUGGCUGGCCUAAUGAACUCACAUUGUUGUGAGCUUUUAGCCCACCAAAAGAAUCCAGUCCUGUUAUGUACUUCACUUUGAUUUGCUUCCACUCAGGACUGCUAACUGUGGCAGCAGCAAGUGUUGCUGGAGAAAGCGUUGCUGAGGCUGUUGCCAGUGACCCAAAACAUGCAAUAUAUAAGAUGAGAAACAGGAACACAAUCACACCUUGUACACACCAAAAACAGAACUUACAAGUUACUACUAAUUACUAUCUAAUUUAAUGAAAUAAGCGUCCUAUGCUUAACAGAGGAAUAUGCAUGUAGUUACCUUUUUUUUCGGUGGAACGUGUUUGUCGGGUUAGAAAUAUUACAAAUAUGAUUAGAAAGGAAGGAAAUGGAAACUUAACUUUGUAUGGGAAAGAACGAGAGAGGAUGGAUAAGGAAACAAUGAGCACCUCUAAAUGCCAGCCAGGAAAAUAAAAUUGAAUAAUUUUACAGUCCAAGCACCAUGGUCUCCAAUUCAAUUCAAUAAAUCAAAAGAAUCCAGGCCCAGGCCAAUUUUAAAAUAGACCAAAAACGAGACACAUCGAGCCCAAAUUAUAAAUAGCUAAAAGAGAUUAGUGUUUUACUGUGCAGCCCACAAUAAAACAUUGAUCUCUGCUAUUUUAUGGAUUUUUUUUCUUGUUUUUUUAUGCCUUUUGAAAAAUUAUUUUUUGCUUCUUUUUUAUUUUUUUAUUUUUGUUUAAUUUAGUUUAUUAAUGUUUAAUUUUUUUUAUUUAGUUAUCAGACUUUCAUGACACGUUUUUCGGAUUUAACGGGUUAACCUGGUUUGAUAAGUUAACCUAGAAUAUUUCUUUUUUGCUUUUUAUUCUUUUUAAUUAAUUUUUUUUGUUUAGUUUAGUUGUUAAUGUUAAAUUUCUUUCUAUUUAGUUAUUAGAUUUUCAUGACAUAUAUCCCGAGUUUCACAGGUUAACCUGGUUUCACGGGAGAACCCAGUUAAUUAUGGGUUGACCCGUCAAUUUUUUUAUUUUCAUAAAUUUUUUUGUUUAAUUUAGUUUGUUAAUGUUAAAUUUUUUUUAUUUAGUUAUCAGACUUUCAUGACACAUAUCAUGGGUUUAACGGGUUAACAUGGUUUGACGAGUUAACCCGAAUUUAUUUUUUGAUUUUUUAUUUUUAAUUAAUUUUUUUUGUUUAGUUCAGUUUGUUAAUGUUCAUUUUUUUUUAGUUAUCAGACAUUCAUGACACGGAUCCGGGGUUUAACGGGUUAACUUGGUUUGACGAGUUAACCUGAAAUUUAUUUUUAUUUUUUUGCUUUUUUUUUCUUUUAAAUUAAUUUUUUUCGUUUAAUUUAAAUUGUUGAUGUUAAAUUUUUUUCUAUUUAGUUAUCAAACUUUCAUGACACGGAUUCCGGGUUUGAUGGGUUAACCUGGUUUAACGAGUUAGCCCAAUUAAUUCUGGGUUAACCCAUUAAUUUGUUUUUUCAUUUUUAAUUAUCAAACUUUCACGAUGCGAAUUCAAUGUAUGACGGGUUAACCUGGUUUGAAGAGUUAACCCAAUUAAUUCAUAUUUUUUUUUCUUUUUCUUCAUUAGUUUUUUUCUUCAUGUUGGUUUCUUUUUCUUUUUAACUAAUUUAUUUAAUUAUCACACUUUUAUGACACGACCUUGCAGUCAGACCCAUGUUCAAUGCUAUUGGGUCUGUAAUUACAGUCCAGACACUUUUAUACUAAGGGUUAACCCAAGUUUAAUGUUAUUAUUAAUAUUAUAAAUAUUACUCUUGGAUUAGGCGUUGCAACCAAACCUAAAACUCUUGGGUAUAACUUUGCAAAAAAAAACUAACACUUUUAGAUUUUAGCUUUUUUUGAAAUCCAAAAAUAAUUGACUCGCUGUAUCGCGCGGGACAUGUAACUAGUAAAAUUGCUAAAAAGAGACUUUCUUCGGACCGAAACAUCAACCGUAUUCUGAUAAGCCCCAAAUAUACUUCAAUAAGCACCCUCUGCAAAAGCUCUCGGUGCAACCUUCUUCCCCAGCCUCAUCAGCUCAAACACGCAAAUAUUUCCUCCCACCAAAUUGUUUUCCGCCGUCCCUUUAUCAAAUUCUACCCUCCGCCUUUUCUCCAUUUUGUUUGACGAAGCCACUCUUUUCCGUCACAAAUCUGAAGUCUGAAAGCAUUCAGAAUCUUCUUGCGGACACCUGUUAGCGGAUGUACUGCAUAAAUCAGCAAGAAUUGCAAUAAUUAGAACUUAACAAACACCUCCAAGAUUGCAUUUUUGUAAAGGCUCGCCAAAACAACACCGUGAAUGCUUAUUAUAAGAGCUGUAAGUACACAUUGAAAAUAAUAAAAUUAUCUACUACAUUUUCGUAAAGGCUCACCAGUAGAUCAUGCUUACUAUAUAAGUUCCUGCAAGAUAGUCAUGAAUGAAGGAUUUUUUGGGCUGGACAUCCAUGCUAUGCUGGCUUUACGCGCUGCAUUCGUAGUUCCUUGUGACGCCUUUGCUAAUGUGGGAAGAUUUUUUAAACUAGUGAUGAUUUCCGAUUCUUCCUGAUCUGCACAUUAUAGAUUCAUAAAUUAAGCACCAUCAUGGAUGUAUACACAAAGAACUCACGAACUUAUUCUGAUGAAGUUCCUUUCUUUAAUGAGAGUUUUUUGAAAAAAAAAGAUUUAUUAUGUGGUUAUCAAAAUUGAAAGCUUACAUUCAAAUUGAAGAAAAAUCAUUGUUAUCAUAAGAUAGGUUUCGUAAGGUGCAAAGUUACUUAUGAUGUUGAAGAUUGGUGAUAAGAUGUUCUAGAAAAUAGAGUUCGUGAUGGUAUGCCUAUAAUCCCAUCAUAAUAAACUAUGAAAACAUUGUUAAUUUUGAAUUAUAUAAAAUGAUAACAAAGAGAUUUUAUAAUGAGCAUAUUAUUAUUAUAACUAUCUUUCUGUUCAUGAAGAUUCACUAUCGUCAAUAUUUAUUGCUCUGCUACUCCCUUUGAUUCAAUUAUGGCCACAAGGGACAAGGGAGCUAUGUCUAACUGAUGGUGACCAGAUGCAAACAAUUUUCUUGUCUGCUUUUGCCAAUUUCAGCUUUCUGCUAGUCCUUCUGUCCAAAUUUGUUUCCACUGAAAUUUUUAAGUUUUGCCCCAGUUGCUUGAGUAGGUUUCAGCUGCAACAGAAAAGUAUAAAACUUUUAAUUGCAGAAAUUUGCUAGAUACUUACCAAGCAACUAGCCUUAACGGUUGUGUCAGCUUCAUCAACAGAAAUGUUACUAUCAUCCAUGAUAGAAAGCAUGACAUGGAUGAAAUCUUUCUCCUCCUCGCUGAUGCUUCUGUUGAGCCCGAUUCGUCGAUGCUCAUCCACCCAGCUCCCAAGCACGCAAUCUAACUCCCUUGCCGUUCUUUUCAUUUUUCCUGUAUAUCCCUUCACCAAAUCCAGCCAACUAAACAAUGGAACAGAAUCUGAAGCCAAAUUUAACCCCACUAGAUAGAAGAAAUUUCGUAAAGCCUCUUGACACCUCUUUGCCUCUUGAUUGCCUUUUGCAUCGGCUCUAAAGUAUCGCUUCCCAGAAAUCAUUCUAACUAUUAUGUUCAUCGCCAUGUCCGCUAAUCUUUGCUUCAUUUCCACCACAGCUUGCCCUCCAUUCCUUGACGAUUUCUCAUAAAAAUCUUUCAUGAGCAAACUGGUUUCUGUGUACCUGACAUGCUUGAGCACCUCAAGCCUAUGAUUUGAGAGGAGUUCAACCAUGACUAACUUCCUGAUAUCACGCCAAUAUCGCCCAUACGGUGCAAAGCCGAACGUGGUUUGGUUAUAGCCCAUGAUCUUUAAUGCUAAGGAUUUUGGACGUGUGGAAAAGACCUUAUCAUUUUCAGUGAAACAUUCUUUCACAAUUUCCCUAUCGCUCACCACAAUUGUUGGAUGAAUUCCAAGGCGGAUAGAGAAGAUUGACCCGUACUCAUCUGCCAUGCCCCCUAGUGUUUUAUGCAGCAGCUGGUUUCUUCCUCCAAGAAGAUGUAGGUGGCCAAUAACAGGCCAUGACCCUGCUACCUCUGGAGGCAUCUUGCCCUUUUUCUUGUUUCCUUUGGCAUAUAUUGUGGCCAAGACAAUAGAAAUUUUUGCAAGAAGAAGGCCAAACAAGGAGAUUUCUCGUAGCUCAAUUAAGGUUUUCAUGGUUUAGUCUGUAAUGGAGGUUUAGUACUUGGUUGAUAUUUUUUUCAGCUGCUACUGAAAGAAACUUUCGAAUUUAGACAAAUGAAAUAUAUUUUUAUGGCUAACUUCUUAUUUUGUUCACAUAUUGAUAGCUCAUUUAUGCCAAGCUCAUUGAUAGCUGAUGGUUACUGAUGUGGGGAUUUUCUAGUCUGGCUUGGCACUUCUAUGUUAUUCAACUAGUCUCCUCUGUAAAAAAAAAGAAAAAGAAAAAAGAAAACCGAAAAUUACCAUCACCAAGUUUGCAUAACUACUAAUUAUUACUUCCGUAAACGAGCAACCUUUUCUGAAAAAGAAAUGAUCUCUCCUUGCAAAUGAUUUUCUUUAUCAUCAUAUAUACAGUCACAACUACUAAUUAUUCACGAAAAAACGACAGGAUACCUUGACAAAUUUUCUAAUGUAUUUGCAUAUAUUUUUUAAUGUUUUUGAAGGCUCAAACUCAUUUUCUGUAAUUUCCUAGAAUAUCUUGACAAAUUCUUUAAUAGCAUUUUUGACAUUUUUUUUUAUCAUUUCCAUGUAUUAAAUCCAUGCUAGUGUUGAUCCAUGUGUUUAUAAGUUAAACAUCUUUCGAUCAUUUUAUCUUUUUAGGUGGAUUUCUAAAUAGAUCUUGAGAAGUCAUAACGGAUUUAUUGAAGUAUUAUUAAAUGGUUAUAUCAUAUUCUUCAUGUGGAAACUAUUUAUUGAGUUGGAACCUUUUAUGCAUAAGAUUAGUAAAGUAAUCAUUACCUUAAGAUUUUAUUAAAAAGAAUUGGAUAAAUUAUGGUUGAAAAAGAAAUAUAAGUGGAGGGAAUAUGAUUGAAAGAGAGAAUUUGUAGAUAAUAAAAUUGAAAGAGACGUAAAUCUUCAAUAUAUAGAAAAUGUCUUUUUAGUCAAAAAACGAAUCUUACCAUCACAUCAAGCUUGGAAAAAAAUCCUUGUGGAUGCACAACUAAUUUUACGUUACUUUCAUGAACAGACAACUACCUUCCUUAAAAGAAAAUGAGCUGCCACUUGCUCGUUAUCUCUUUUAAAACAAAGGCCGGAUACUUAUCUAUAAAUAAAUAAUAUAUCCAAGCUUUAAGAUGCACACUACAAUAAAUUAAAAAAAGAAAAAGAAAAAAGAAUAAAAAAUGAAAAGUAAUCUCAUAAAAUUAUAAAAUAUUUAUGAGAGCAUAAAUAAAGUAUUUUCUCCUAAUAAUAAAGAAAUUUUAGUUUUUUUUCUAUUAAUAAAAAAAGAUUGUAAUUCUCAUAUAUAUUAUUUAAUAAAAUUCUUUUAUAUUUCCUUAUAAAUAUAUUUAAAUUGGGUCAAUCAUAAAAAUUCUUGUGUGUAAUUUUUUAUUUUAACAUAUCUUUUAUUUUUCAUCUUAUUAGAUUUGUAUGCUAGUAUCCUAUCAAAUACCUAGGAUUUUCUUGAUCAUAAUACACUGUCACUACUGAUUAUUCACGAAAAAACAAAAAGAUAUCAAAACUAUUAGGCUUCUGUCAGCACAAGCUUUAUUUGUUUCCAGAAUUAGACAGGGAUAUACUUUUCUCUCCUUGUGUCACUGAAGUGUUUUUACAAUGUUAUAAUUUGACUUAUUAAUUUAAUAGAUUAACUCGUAUUAAUUUAAUAUAUUAUUAUAUUAAUAUUUAAAAAUAAUAUUCUACAAUAUAAAACAUAUUUUAAAUUCGUAAUUAAUUUUUUUAAUUAAAAAACAUCGUGGUGAAUAUGCCCUUCCUUGUACAUGUCAAGUAAAAUGUCUUUUCUUUACAAAAUCACGACUAAAUUACAUUGGACAGCCAACAACGCACCAGUUCCAUAGCUAAGCUUAACAAGAUUUGAAGAUUCUCCUGGUAAUUUAUAUUUACAGGAUCUAUCGCAACAUCAUCCUGGUUGAUUCCUCAGCAGCCACAUUUUACAUCAUAUAAUACAAACAAAAGUAUCACAAACGUUUGACUGUCACGAGGAGGGAUUAGUAAAUUACCAGUGACCAAACAUAGACUAAACAAAACAUUCUGAACAGCAGAGAUUGCCUUGCAAGUCACUUCAAAGACACACAAUCUUCAACUGCACGAAAUGUUGUCACCUUCAGCACAGAUUUCUUGCUGUUGAUCAGCUCAAAGACGCGAACGUCUCCUUCCUUCAAAUCAUUUUCCUUGUGAAAUCUAUUCCAUCCCUUCGACAGCUUACGUUCACAUUUACUGACUCGCAAAGGCCACCCCCUUCCAUCAGAAACUUGGAGUUUAAUACGAUCGGAAACUUGAUUCAGAUAUUUUUCAGCAAAUCCAAGCGCCACAUACUGCACAUAACGAAAAACAAUUCAAACUGAAUACGAAACUUACAAAAAUCACGAGCAUAUUCUAUAUAAUUAAAGGCUCCCCACAAAAUUGUUGCGGGUAUUAUAUAUGGUCGCAACAAGACCAUGAAAGAAGGGUUUUUAGGUUUGAACUUUCUGGCAGCGUGAACUGACUACAAUUUCCAUAUGUGAAUGUGAAUGAUUCUUUUCAGGGAUCUUUGCUCUAUGCAUGACUCGAGCUCCUCAAGUGAAUAGAAUACUCUGCUUUGUGUGGACAAUACAGAUGGCACCGCAUCUUCGUUCAUGUGUCCACAUGUUGUACAUUCAAGAUUAAAAAUGGCAGCCUUUUUUUUAUGAUGAGAAAUUUAAUAAAAACAAAGAUCAAAACAUUAUAUACAUUCUCUACAAAUAAAAUCUAGGAUUAACAGUUUAAGUUAUUAGGUUGAAUUGAUUAUUUGAUAUGGUAUUAGAAUCUUAAUAACCUAAUAAUCACGAGUUUGAAUCUCACUAUCUCCAUUUAUUUGAUAAAAAUUAAAAAUAAAGUAAUGUUCAAACGACUUUCACUUGAAUAGAUGUGUUAGAGAAUAAUAUAAAUUAUAUAUUAGAACCUUACCUAACAGUUUAAACUAUUGGGUGAAGAUAGUUUUUUGACACAAGCAAACAAUUUUCUUGUCUGCUUUUGCCAAUUUCAGCUUUCUGCUAGUCCUUCUAUCCAAAUUUGUUUCCACUGCAAUUUUUAAGUUCGAAAAAAAACGCACCAAAUGAUAUAGUUGAUAAAAAUAGACAAUAGUAAAUUAAAAACCACGAAAUAAAAACUUGACUAUAAGAUCAGUUCAACAGUUAUUGCAAUACAUUGGCAAUAAAAAACACUUCCUGCCUUUAUUCUACCUUUGUUUUACAUAUUUUUAUAAAGGAUUGCACAAUGAUCUCCUUGUGCUUGCUGCUUAGAAUUCGUAAGCGAUGGAAGGUAACCUUGGCCUGAGGACAACCUCCAAUGGUGUUGCUUUGGGGACUGUCAAUCCAGGGCUUUCAGUCAUAUCGACUGGAGUAUCCGAGACUGUCCUCAAUUCAAACCCGUGAAGAAGCCGAGCAAGUGUCAGGUGCACAACCUGGACAGCGAAUGACACCGCAGGGCACAUUCUUCUUCCAGACCCGAAUGGUGUGAAUUCGAAGUCCUGCCCCCUUACAUCCAAAUUGGCUUUCUCUUUCAGGAACCUCUCAGGCUGAAAUUCCAAUGGGUUAGCCCAAAUGUUAGGGUCACGAUGCAACUUCCAGAGGUUAACCACAAGGCGCGUGCCUGCUGGGAUGUGGAAGCCAGCUACAGUGCAAUCCUCCAUGGCUUCCCUUUGUCCUGAGAGUGGUGCUGGCGGGUGUAGCCUGAAUGUUUCCUUGACAAUGGCUUGCAAAUAUACAAGGUUCUUUAUGUCUGUCUCGGCCACUUGGCGGUGCUUUCCGACGUGGGUGUCAAGCUCAUCUUGAGCUUUUUGAAGCAUAUUUCUGUUGUUUAGUAGCAAAGCUAGUGCCCAUAUCAGAGCUAUCGCUGUUGUGUCACUGCCUCCCGCUAGAAGGCUCUGCCAUAGAGAUUACUUGAUACUGUGAGAUGAUGGAGUAAAAAACUGAUUUAUAUACAAAUAUACGAAAUUUAUUCCUUUAAUUUAUUAGGAUUUAUAUGACCCUUAGAGAUUACUAUGUCUGGCUAUAGUACAAUUUCUUUUUUUGACAAAUACUAAAUGCAAAAUGCAAAAAUCGAACAUAAACUCUGGAUGUUUUGCCUAGCUCUAAGCAGUAUUGCAGAAAUGAAGACAGAGCAAGGGCCUCGAGUUAGAGACUUUCCUGAAAACUUAAAUCAAAUACAGAUCAUCAUUUACCCAAACUCCUUUCAGACAUGUGAAAAAAGCAAGUUUUGCCCCAGUUGCUUGAGUAGGUUUCAGCUGCAACAGAAAAGUAUAAAACUUUUAAUUGCAGAAAUUUGCUAGAUACUUACCAAGCAACUAGACUUAACGGUUGUGUCAGCUUCAUCAACAGAAACGUUACUAUCAUCCAUGAUAGAAAGCAUUACAUGGAUGAAAUCUUUCUCCUCCUCGCUGAUGCUUCUGUUGAGCCUGAUUCUUCGAUGCUCAUCCACCCAGCUCCCAAGCACGCAAUCUAACUCCCUAGCCGUUCUUUUCAUUUUUCCUAUAUAUCCCUUCACCAAAUCCAGCCAACUAAACAAUGGAACAGCAUCUGAAGCCAAAUUUAACCCCACUAGAUAGAAGAAAUGUCGUAAAGCCUCUUGACACCUCUUUGCCUCUUGAUUGCCUUUUGCAUCGGCACUAAAGUAUCGCUUCCCGGAAAUCAUUCUAACUAUUAUGUUCAUUGCCAUGUCCGUUAAACUUUGCUUCAUUUCCACGACAACUUGCCCUCCAUUCCUUGACGAUUUCUCAUAAAAAUCAUUCAUGAGCAAACUGGUUUCUGUGUACCUGACAUGCUUGAGCAACUCAAGCCUAUGAUUGGAGAGGAGUUCAACCAUGACUAACUUCCUGAUAUCACGCCAAUAUCGCCCAUACGGUGCAAAGCCGAACGUGGUUUGGUUAUAAGCCAUGAUCUUUAAUGCUAAGGAUUUUGGACGUGUGGAAAAGACCCUAUCAUUUGCAGUGAAACAUUCUUUCACAACUUCCCAAUCGCUCACCACAAUUGUUGGAUGAAUUCCAAGGAGGAUAGAGAAGAUUGACCCGUACUCAUCUGCCAUGCCCCCUAGUGUUUUAUGCAGCAGCUGGUUUCUUCCUCCAAGAAGAUGUAGGUGGCCAAUAACAGGCCAUGACCCUGCUACCUCUGGAGGCAUCUUGCCCUUUUUCUUGUUUCCUUUGGCACAUAUUGUGGCCAAGACAAUAGAAAUUAUUGCAAGAAGAAGGGCAAACAAGGAGAUUUCUCGUAGCUCAGUCAAGGUUUUCAUGGUUUAGUCUGUAAUGGAGGUUUAGUACUUGGUUGAUAUUUUUUUCAGCUGCUACUUAAAGAAACUUUCGAAUUUAGACAAAUGAAAUAUUUUUUUAUGGCUCACAUCUUAUUUUGAUCACAUAUUGAUAGCUCAUUUAUGCCAAGCUCAUUGAUAGC
Molecule: long non-coding RNA, 23056 nt
Filed under: Populus tremula
Lineage: Eukaryota; Viridiplantae; Streptophyta; Magnoliopsida; Malpighiales; Salicaceae
Description: long non-coding RNA (PTRE_LNC002890)
Source: RNAcentral